This 514-nucleotide ribosomal RNA is filed under the name uncultured bacterium. Its description in RNAcentral is "bacterial SSU rRNA". It matches the Rfam family "Bacterial small subunit ribosomal RNA", at positions 19 to 518 of the family's 1533-position model. The record is from RNAcentral.
CUGGCUCAGGAUAAACGCUGGCGGCGUGCUUAACACAUGCAAGUCGAACGGAGUGGUCUCCCGAGGAUUGAUAGUGCUUGCACUUGAUUGACUCAUUUGAAUCACUUAGUGGCGGACGGGUGAGUAACGCGUGGGAAACCUGCCCUAUACUGGGGGAUAGCAGUUGGAAACGACUGAUAAUACCGCAUAAGCGCACAGCUUCGCAUGAAGCAGUGUGAAAAACUCCGGUGGUAUAGGAUGGUCCCGCGUCUGAUUAGCUAGUUGGUGAGGUAACGGCCCACCAAGGCGACGAUCAGUAGCCGGCCUGAGAGGGUGUACGGCCACAUUGGGACUGAGACACGGCCCAAACUCCUACGGGAGGCAGCAGUGGGGAAUAUUGGACAAUGGGGGAAACCCUGAUCCAAGCGACGCCGCGUGAACGAUGAAGUAUUUCGGUAUGUAAAGUUCUAUCAGCAGGGAAGAUAAUGACGGUACCUGACUAAGAAGCACCGGCUAAAUACGUGCCAGCCGCAGC